This 375-nucleotide ribosomal RNA is filed under the name uncultured bacterium. Its description in RNAcentral is "bacterial SSU rRNA". It matches the Rfam family "Bacterial small subunit ribosomal RNA", at positions 524 to 898 of the family's 1533-position model. The record is from RNAcentral.
UACGGAGGGUGCAAGCGUUAAUCGGAAUUACUGGGCGUAAAGCGCACGCAGGCGGUCUGUCAAGUCGGAUGUGAAAUCCCCGGGCUCAACCUGGGAACUGCAUUCGAAACUGGCGGGCUAGAGUCUUGUAGAGGGGGGUAGAAUUCCAGGUGUAGCGGUGAAAUGCGUAGAGAUCUGGAGGAAUACCGGUGGCGAAGGCGGCCCCCUGGACAAAGACUGACGCUCAGGUGCGAAAGCGUGGGGAGCAAACAGGAUUAGAUACCCUGGUAGUCCACGCCGUAAACGAUGGCGAGUUGGAGGUUGUGCCCUUGAGGCGUGGCUUCCGGAGCUAACGCGUUAAAUCGACCGCCUGGGGAGUACGGCCGCAAGGUUAAA